Molecule: non-coding RNA, 22041 nt
Organism: Oryctolagus cuniculus (rabbit)
Lineage: Eukaryota; Metazoa; Chordata; Mammalia; Lagomorpha; Leporidae
Source: RefSeq, a predicted model, not a curated record
CCGAGGGUCCAAGACGGGGAGGGUCCAUGUGUGUCAGCAGGCUUGCCCGUGUGGUUCUUCCCUUGCCUAGGGAACCGCACUAGGGACGGUGCUUGGCCAGAUGUACUCUGGGCAGCUGUGAAGGUCAAAGGUGAAGGCCAGGAGAUGACCUGGCCCUAGGAGAGUGUCUGGCACAUGGGAAGCGCUCGGUGAAUUGGUUGAAGAAUGGGAGGAAAGGAAGGAGCGAGGGAGGGCAGGAGGGAAGCAAAAGCUACAUCUGUCCACCCAUUAUUAAUGAGUCACCAUAAAUCUCUCAUUUCAGGAUAAGGAAAUGUCAUUAGAAGGUCCCUGAGGGAGAAAAAUGCCUGCGUCCUCUGGGCUAGGAAUGCCUUUUUCCAUUUUUCCUUCCUGUAAAAAUUGUAUUCCCAUCUCUGGGGCUUAGCGCAAGCCGUAUUUCCAAAGAGGUUUGGGAGGACUUCUGGCAAAAUCCAUCCCUCCACCCCUACCCUGCCUUUGACAGUUCUGUAGGCUGGGGAUGCUCGUUGCUGCAGAUCCUCGGAUGCCAGGGCUGGCGACUGGGCACUGCGAGGCCACAGAGGCCGCUGAAGCUGAGAGGGCAAGUGACUUGCCCAGGGAGACGCAGCUAAGACACCGUGAGCCGUGUGGAUUCCAGAGCCCCUGCUGGCCUGGGUACCUCCCAACCUCUGCUUUUGGCUCCCUCUGUCUGGGCAGCUUUCCAGGAAGAAGAGGCCUGUACUUUUGGGUCCGCCUGCAGUUAAGGCGCGUAGGUGUGCUCCUCCUCCGGGCUGGCUUCCCAGUGCCCUGUGUUGUAGGCAGCCAUGUGGAUCCGUUCCCACUGCACGCUCUUGGGGGGUGAGGGCAUGGCUCCUCCAAGGUCCCUGCCGGGCUCUGUGCAUGUCAGUACCCAGCAGGGCUGGUAAGACUGCUAGCGUAGGGGCUCCAAAGAACCGAUUGUGAACCCCUUGUGGGCUGGGGUCUGUCUGGCUUGUUCAGUGUUGAGCGUAGGAUCAGUGCGUAGUGUGUGUUGAUCAACUUCCCCAAAGCAUGCUUGUGGGUUCUCUGGCUACUGCCAAGAGGCAGGUAACCGGCCGAGGGUCUGCCCAGGGUGGGGGGCCCUGCCCGUGGUAGACAGUGGCUCUGCUACUCCUUCCCGGCGCCGCUGCCACACCGCUGUGGUGGGCUUCUGCGUGUCUGGACUGUGUCCCAUAGCACAUGGCUCCCCGGACAAAUUUCUUUCCACCCCGACUCGCCCAGGCUGCCCUCCAGUAGUCCCUAGGGUGGAGGGCUUGCUGCUGUGUCCCUUCCCUGGCUCCUCUUCACCACCCGGCCUCGCCUUCUCUCAUCAUCUACGGGAGAACGCGGUGUCCGAGCCUCUAAUCCCUGGCCCCGGGUGUGCCCUUGAACUUUACUUUUAAACAAAGCUUCCCGACCCCAGCAGCGCUUGGGUCACAUUCCCAGAGAGCCUGCAGAUGGGGGCCGAGUCUGUUUAUUUUCUAAGAUUUCAGAAAACAUGCCUUUUUUCCCUCCUCUGACCUUAAACAAAACUUUUUUUUCCCCCUCCGACACUUGUAUUUUUAACCUCAUGAGAAAAUACGGUACGGGAGCAGAUUUUAUUUUCAGAAACCGUCAUUCUUCAAGAUUUUCAAAAUUAAAAUAAAACAAGCUUGGGGGUAGACGAGAGUAAGGAAGGGUACUUUUCGGUUUUGGUGCUGGAGUGGGGGAGGGGAAGGCUCCCUAGAGCUGUUUUCUGCCCAGCCCCCGUGUCUGUGACCGGUGCUGGACUUCUUCCGGAAGUUUCUGCACGUGGAGCCUGCAGCGACUUAGUUGUUAUUGUGAGCACCUUUUCCUCUCCUGCAGACUGGGACUGACUGGGCCCACCGAGGGCCCUGUACAAGCCCUUCCCUCCCACACAGGAAGUGCCAGUGCCUUCUCUUUAGGGGAGGGCACUGUGGGCUGGGUGGGCCACAGUAACUGCCCUGCUCAAGGCCCUCCUCCCACGGUGGGGGUCACGAGAUGCUGCAGUCCGGGGACGUUUGCUAGCCCUGAAUUCUCAUCUGGGUCACAGGAGCUGAGGCCCAGAGAGGUGGGCGACUUGGGCAAAGUCACCUGCCACUCAGACAGUAGUGCCUGGUGAGGGGCGGGCCUCAGGCUCUCCUGGUCCUGGUGCUGGCUGCUCCCCGUGGCCCAGCCAUAGCUGACCAGUGGCUUUCAGCACCAGCUCCCUCUGGCUCCCCAGUACUCUUGUUCUCAGUUUGUACAACACCCCCUCCUCCAUUUCUUUGCUCAGCCCCCAGCGGGGGUCAUGCAGCACAGACAUCUAAGUUUCAGUGUUCUUCUAGAAUGGAAAAACUGGCAUUUUGAGCAAGUCCUUAUUGAUUGACAGCAGCCACAAAAGAGACAGAAAACCCAGUCACUGCUUAAGUAGUGCAGUUCAGCGGGAACCCAGCAGCUGACCAGCUCCUUCUUACUGCCUCCGCCCCUUCCCACCACUCUUUCCCCUUCCCUCGCCUUGCUGCUCCGCCUGGUCCAGCCCAGUCCUCCUCUCACCUGGCUUGUGCAGCAGUCCCCGAAACACCUCCUCUCCCGGUCUUGCCCCUGUCAUGAUGGUUCUCAGACCUGCGUCUGGCCAGUCUCCCUUCCCUGACCUGGCUCCAGCCUCUGCCUGUGGCCCUCACCCAGGGCCACAGCCCCCGAAGCCCUCCUCUGUGCCGCAACCACCUGCUCGUCCUUGCGAGGCCUGCAGAGAUGUCCCUCCUCCUGGGAGCCCUCCUGUUGCUGUGGAUUCGUUCUGAGAGGAGCGUGGGGGGGCAAGAGGCACAGAGUCACCACACAGACCCAGGGAGCAGGUGAAAGCAGCCCAGAGCCGAGCGGCCGCAGACUCGUUUAUUUCAGUUGGUACAGCAGCUUAUAUAGCUGAGGCAGCCAAUCCGGUCAAAGGGUGGUUUAUGCCCUAACCAAUCACAACCAAUUGCCAGGCAGGCUCUGUUGCUGGGUGGGUUCUGAAGCCAUUCCUGAGUAACUGACGCUGGCUUGCCAGCGGCCAUCUUGGCAUGACCUUCUCAUUCCACCACAGCCUCCAGGCUCCUUGAGCAUGGCUUUCCCUUCCGAGCUUCUGCAGCUUCAGUUCCUGGGGGCCCGGCACCCCUCAUGUGGAGACCCGGUCUUCCCUCACUUGGCUAUCUCCUGGGCUGGGCUGCUCUGGGGAGGGCCUGUGCCUGACCCUUUGAUGUGGCAGAGAUGUAGGAAGACUCCUGGGGUCUCACAAAGCACCAGAGAUUUGGCAGGAAGCUCAGUGAAGUCUGUGCCUCUUCUUAGCCACUCCCAGGGUCAGUGUCCAGCCCGGCGUUGGCAUCGAGGUAGUAACAGGUGUCUGGGCACAGGCUCCCUCUGGCCACCAGCAGGACCGUGUGUUGAGUCCAGAGCUGGUAUGACAGUGGCUGUGGGGUCCUGUGGCCAUGGAGCUGCUUCCUAGAGCCAGGAAGGAACUGUCUCUCUUUUAGAUUUAUUGUAUUUAUUUGAAAGAGUUACAGAAAAAGGUCGAGACACAGAGAGAGAUCUUCCAUCCACUGCUUCACUUCCCAACUGCUGGAGCUGAGCUGAUCUGAAGCUAGGAGCCAGGAGCUUCUACUGGGUGCAGGGGCCCAAGGACUUGGGCCAUUCUAUGCUGCUUUCCCAGCCCAUAGCAGAGAGCUGGAUCAGAAAUAGAGCAGCCGGGAUUGAAACCAGCACCCAUAUGGGAUGUUGACGCUGCAGGUGAGGGCUUUAACCCACUGUGCCACAGUGCUGGCCCCAGAGCUGUCUCCUCGGGCUGCUGUCUCUUCUUCCUCCCCCUUCUCCACCUCCCCUCCUCCUUCAUCUGCAUCUGCUGCCUUGGCCUCAUGGGGAUCGGCCCCCUGCUCAUCUGCUCAUUGUUUUGGGGUUGCUGCCUUGGGCAGGUUGCUAUUUUGGGGCUUCCAGAGAAUCUUAAAAACAAACCAACAAAAAUCAUUCCACCCCACACCUGGAUCUGACCGUCAGGGAGUAAGAACAUUUUGAAGCUGUACAUGAGCUUAACAUCACCGUGUGCAGGACAGGGUAGGGUGUGGGGUGGGCUCUCCAGUGACAUGGACUCGGUAGCUUACAAAGCGCCUUAUGUUUUUUAAAUAAAGAUUCAUUAAUUUAUUUAAAAGAGUUAGGGAGAGAGAGAGAAAGACCUUCCUUCUGCUGGAUUACUCCCCAGACGGCCAAAACAGCCAGUGCUGGGCUAGGCUGAAGCCAGGAGCCAGGAGUUUCUUCGGGGUCUCCCUCACAGGUGCAGGGCCCAUCUUCUGCUGCUUUCCCAGGCCAUAGCAGAGAGCUGGAUUGGCAGUGGAGCAGCCGGGACUCACACUGGCACCUAUAUGGAAUGCUGGGGCUGCGGGUGGCGGCUUUACCUGCUGCGCCACAGCGCUGGUCCAUCCAUGGUGGCUCUGGGCGUGGACACUGGGCUGACUCUGUGCUAAGCUUUGAGAUCUCUCAGCAUCAUGGCAAGCAUCAUGACUCCGUUUCCCAAAGGAACCGAGGCCCAAAGAAGCUGUGUUUAAGCUGCUCCUUGAGGCGUGUGGCCAGGAAGCGGCUGAGUGUGCGAGUGGCCUCCUCUGUCCUUUGACUCUAUGGAAGCCUUGAGAAACCAGUGCGGGACUUUCUUUUUUUAACCUCCCAUUUAACAGGUAAGAAGACAGCCCGCAGAGUCAUACAGAGGCGCUUCUGCCUGCACCCAGGCUGCUGAGUUCUGAUCCGCGUGCUUUCCCUGGCCGGUCCUACUCGGGCUCUGCUCCCUGGCGGGGUGGAAGCUGGGGUGCAAGCUUGACCCUCAGUGGCGGAGCAGCACUGGGGUUACAGCUGGUGCUCGGGGUGUUGAGAUCUCGCCAUGCCACCCCUUGGCCUGCUGGUGGUCUUUGCCCAUGGGCGUUGGCAGGUCCGUUCAUGUCCACUCUCCAGUGCCAGGUGUCUUUCCGGGGAGAGUGGGCAGUGUGCAUCUCUGUACCUCCCGCUCUUCCAGGUCGACCUUGUGCCCACCUCCUUGCUGCCUGCAAGAUUCUCCAGUGGUGUGGAUAGGAGCAGAUGGUGGCCUGGAAUCCAGGGCCAUCCAACCUCUCCAAGGCAGCAGUGAGCUGCCCCAUCCCUCUGGUGGUCUCUGCAGGGGGUACCCUGGUCAGGAGUGGGAACUCUCCUUUCUUGAGAUGUUAAGCCUGAUGCAGACACCCAUAGAUGCGGGAGCCAGCGUGAGUCUGUAACACCUGCCCAACCCCCGGGGACGGGAAGCUGAGCCCUCUGCUUUGUGGUGCUGGGGAAAGGCUGAGACCCGGGGCUGCAGCAGUGCGGACACUCAGCCUCGCCAGCUGCUUUUGGGGUGGGCGUGUGUGGCCUGGGCAUUUGCUGCAGACCCCUCCUUGGGGCAGAAAGGGGCACCUGGGCCUGGGUGAGAGGUGUGUGUAGGACUGAGCAAGCCUUGCACAGAGCCAGGUUCGAAUCCCCACUCUGCCGUUUGGCCGCAAUUCUGAACCUUUCCUGGUCACGAUUUCUCUGUAAGGUGAGACUGUGCCCACUUAUAAGUGCCCUGUGGGGUCCAGCCUUGCCCAGGAGGUGCUCUGGACGUGAGGAGCAGGCGCCCUUUGCCCCAGCCAGGACCCAGGAGUUCGAGUGAGUUGCUGGGCACUGUGGAAUGUUUGGAUUCGGAAAGGAGCUUUUCCAGGCCAGUGUUGUCCUGACGGGUCCUCCUCCGGCCCCUGCUAGGCCUGACUGCUGGGUUCUCCCCUCCCAGUGCUCUGUUCUCAAGAGAUGGCCGGGGCUUCAGGGCCGGGCACAGGCUGGCAGAGGCAACAGAGCAAGCUGUCGGGGCUCGGAUCCAGCCUCCUCCACGUGGCCAGGCCACUUCUCUUGCCCGCAGGCCUGAGGUGGACAGGUGGGAGAGAGGCCAAGAUGACGAUUUCUAGAACUUAGGAGGCUGCAGGCCAGGGGCUGGCACAGCAUGGUCCAAGGCCAAAUCUGACCUGCUGCUGUUUUUGUAAGUAAGGUUUUAUUGGAAUUCAGCCGUGCCCAUGUGCACGUCAUCUCCAGUGCUCCUGCUCUGCAGUGGCAGAGUUCAGUGGCCUGGCAGGGACGCCUGGUCUGCAAAGGUGAGGCCAUUUACAGAAAGAGGUUGCUACCCCUGACGGGGACCAUGCACAUCUCAAGGGCGGAAGCCACUCAGCCGGGAGUGUCCUCCUGUCCUCCUUUGCUGGAUGACCUGCUUAUGCCGUAUGGGAGGGCCUGGACUCAACUCUGGGCUGGACACCCAGUAGAUUAGUUUAUUAGUGGAAUAAAUAAGGGGAAAACCUAUUAGUAUGAUCUGAGUUUCAAGGAAUAAAAAAUGACCAGUGGUUUAAACAAUAACAAAUGUCUAUCAUCCCAUGUAAGAAAUCUGCAGCUGUGUGGCCCCAGGACCCACUCUGUAGCUCAGCAGGGCCAUCAAAGAGGACCCAGGCUGUCCCCUUCUUUCUCUACCAACAUCCUCAACAUAUUGACUUGGUCCUCAAACUUUUUUCCUCUUGUGACAAAAUGGCUGCCACAGUCCCAGUCAUCACAUCUAGUACUGUUAAGACAUUCAGCUGAAAAAGGGCUUUCUCUCUUUUCAUCUGUGAGGAAUGGAGUCCUUUCCCAAAGUUCCCCAGCUUUGGGAUUCCCCCCGUCCUGCCGUCCAGGACCGGCACUCGGCACCUGCCCUCACUGCAGGGGGCACUGUUUCUGACUCCACAGUUAGGAGCGGGCCCUGUCUACAAGGAUUAAAGGCAAGGGAAGCACUCGCCGUUGGAUGAGCACUGUUUGAAGUCUGCCACAAGGCUCCACUGCAGAAGGAAGAGGGGCUGUGUGGCUCUGGCCGGAACGGCAGGGUCGGCAGGGAAAGCUUCCCGGAGGAGGGCCUGGGGCCACUGCUGGAAGGCCGGGUGGUGACAGAGGAUGCCCGGCCUCUGGCGGAUUCCGGCUGCUGAGGGGAACAGUUGCCACGGUUGCAGGCACAGCUCUCACAGGGAUAGGGUUUGAACAGGAUUUGGCUCCUGACUACGCUGAUGUUUAAAUCCCAAAUGGCACUCCAAUAGCACACAGAGGGUGGAGGCUUGAUCUAGUUACGGUGUCGGCGGGUGGGGCUUUGGCAAGUGAUGGAUUAGGCUGCCGGGGCAGAGCCCACGGCUGGCUCCCGGUGGUUCUGUAAGGAGAGUCCACAGAUUCAAGAUGGGGUACAGCCCCGUCUCUGCCUCCUGCUUGCGCCAUGAUCUCUCCCCUGCACACCUCUCAGCCACCGUCCCCCCCAGACUGCAGACCUGCAAGGCUGUGAGAGCGACACGCCAUGUUCCCUCCUGAGUGGCCCUGGACCCCUUCAGUCCUGGCAAUGAAAAGCUGAUGGAUGCACACGGGUUUGUGUAUUUUUUUUUCCUCCUAGAAUCAGUUUUUCAUCCCUCUUCCUGUAGGUUCCUUAGAACAACCCUUAAGGGAGGUUAUAAAUCUUGUCUUCAUUUCACAGACAAGUGAAGUGGCUUGUCCACAGACAGCUAGUGCUGGGGCCAGAGCUUGCGACUGUCUGAGUCAGGUGCAGGGCCAACUCCAGUGGCCCGGCACAGAAGCACACGGGAGCACCCACGCCCAGCUGCCCAGUCUGCGAACACUUGCUGCUGACCUGGCACCUGUGGUCCCCGCUGGGGCUGGCAGCUCCUAACAGCAAGGCAGGUGCAGGGUCAUCUGGGAUAGGGAUUUAGGGGCGUGGGUAUGUCUGAGCACCUGGGGGCCAGCCAGGCAGGAGAGAGGGUCAGGGAGCACUGUGCAAAGGGACUUCCAGGGGGCUGGCCUGUGGCGUAGUGGGCUGGUCUGUGACCUACAAUGCCGACGCCCACACAAGCAGCUCCAUUUCUGUUCCAGCUCCCUGCUGAUGCCCCUGCCUGCCCACGUGGGAGACCUAGAUGGAGUCCCAGGCUCCUGGCUUCGGCCUGGCUGAGCCCUGGGCAUUGUGGCCAUUUGGGUAGUGCACCAGUAGAUGGAAGAUCUCUCUGUCUCUCCUCUUUCUCUAAUUCUGCCUUUCAAAUAAAUUUUAAACAAAAAAAAAAACAAAAAAACAAGGGACUCCUGGGGGACUUGGUGUCCCAGUGCUUAGUUGUUCUGCACACUGCGGGCAGGCGGGCAGCAGUGGGGCGCUGCGUGGGCCCAGCCCCUACGCGAGAUUGGUCCAGAAUAGAAGCUGCUGGACGGAGACCAGCUCUUUCUCCAGUGCGGUGAGAAGAGCCGGUGUGAUGACACUGCAGCGUUGGCUAUGGACAGGGCCUCGCGUCUACCGGGUGUUCCAUAAAUGAUAGCACAGUCCUGUCACCGUCAGCGUCGUCAUCCUUGUCAUGCUCAGUGUCACCGCCCCCUCGGUUGCAGAGGCAGAGCCCCGGCAGCCUGGAGGGGGCGAGGAACCUGGCUGCCUGCUUCGCAGAGGGCAGGCGUCUGGCUCUGGCCCGCUGCUCUCGCACAGGACUGCCUGGCGGAACCCAGCAGGAGCGUUCUCACCUGGUGGUCUCACAGCGGCAGGAAAGCAGUAGAAGAUGGCCCAAGUACCAGGGCCCCUGCAUCCACGUGGGAAACCUGGAAGAAGCUCCUGGCUCCUGGCUUUGGAUCAGCCCAGCUCCAGCUGUUGCAGCCACCUGGGGAGUGAACCAGCAGAUGAAAGAUCUCUCUGUCUCUUCCUCUGCCUCUCUGUAACUCUGACUUUCAAAUAAAUAAAUAAAUCUUUAAAAAAAAAGUGGUUGCAUCCACUUCCAGUGCCUCUGGGGCCCCAUCCCCACCACCCCUGCCGUGGCUCCAGGCCUUCCUUCUCCCUUGCCAAGCUUGGUUGUGUCCAGCCUUGCUGUCCCGUCUCUCAGCCUUUGCUAUACUGUUCCUCCUGGCAGGAAUGCGCUUUACCCCUGUCACACACCUCACGCCCUCCCAUUCUUGCCAAACUUCCCUCUCUGAGCACCCCUGCUGGCCCCCACACUCCUGCCACCCCCCUGUGGCCUGACCUCCUACAGGCUGGCAUGUCCAUCUGACCCCACCACCUGGGAGUGCAGGGGCCAGGCCUUGGUACCUUUUUCAUCACGGAAGUUCGGUUGAGCAUUUUAUUUAUUUUUUUAAUUAAUUAAUUUAUUUGAAAGGCAGAGGCAGAGACAGAGAGAGAGAGAGGUCUUCCCUCCACUGUUUCACUCCCCAGAUGGCAAAAAUGGCCAAAGCUGAGCUGAUCAGGAGCUGCUUCUGGGUCUCCCACAUGGGUGAAGGGGCCCAAGCACUUGGGCCAUCUUCUACUCCCUUCUCAGGCCAUAGCAGAGAGCUGGAUCUGAAGUGGAACAGCCAGGACUUGAACCGGUGCCCAUAUGGGAUGCUGGCAUCACAGGGAGCAGCUUAAUCCAUACCCCAUAGCUCCGGCUCCUCCAUUGUCAUCUCAAAACCCAGAAGAGGUGUUUGUCGACUGACGGAAUGGAUAGUAGGUGGAUAUUGGAGUAGGUUUGGCAGACUGAGUGUGGGGCCUUGGACUUCUCUUUGACACCAGAGGCAGACAGCAGAAGCCGGCGUCUCCCCACAGAGCCUUGUGUGAGUCUAGUUCCCCGGUUCCCAAACUGGUAACCAAGCUGGGAAUCCGACUCUCAGGUUCUGGGUGGGGCCCCUGGGGGAGCCCUGGAGGACCCUCGUGGGAGAGCUGAAUAUCAAGGUGUAGUUCAAGCCCGCGCUGAUGGGCGGGGCGCUGGGAUGGGGGAGGAGAGGAGCGGCUUGCUGCCACCUCGGUUUUGCCGUGUUGGAGCAGGCACGGGACACCGGGCUUUGCACGGUGCACGGAUCCCCUAGGUGGGCAGGUGCCUCGAGGGGAGGUAGCCCUGGUCCCUGCGGUGUGCCCGGGUGCACUGGGGAGGUAGCCCUGGUCCCUGCGGUGUGCCCGGGUGCACUGGGGAGGUAGCCCUGGUCCCUGCGGUGUGCCUGGGUGCACUGGGGAGGUAGCCCUGGUCCCUGCGGUGUGCCCGGGUGCACUGGGGAGGUAGCCCUGGUCCCUUUGGUGUGCCCGGGUGCACUGGGGAGGUAGCCCUGGUCCCUGUGGUGUGCCCGGGUGCACUGCAGUGAGCAGCCUGCUGUAGAGGCUCAGUCGCUGCGAGUUUGGAUUUUUUUCUUUGAACCCCAGUCAUCAUUAUCCCCAAAGAAUAUUGCUGGUGAAUGGAAGAAUGCGUGUGUCCUGGGAGCCUGGGUGCCACCGCACCCCAUUUUUACAAGAACUGGCAAAUGUAUUUUUAAAAUUGAGAGGUGCACAGGAAGCAGGCCUGCAGGGAAAGAGAAAAGAAGUCUUCUGUGCGUUGGGGUGUGAAGUUGACCUUGGCCCGCGGUUUCCUGUAGGACCCGCCCUGGGGCUUGGGCCUCUGUCCAGCUCAGUGGGUCCGUGCUGCUAGUAGUUUCUCACCCACCGGAGGGCGACUUGGAAAGAGGCAAAGCAAGGCUUUGAGGAAGCCGGGGGAGUGACUAGUGUGCUAUGGCUGUGGGUCACGGUGAUGGCGAUGGUAAAGGCUGGAGAGCAGCGUCCAUGGGCAGUGGGUAGAGGGCAGGGGUGCCCCCUUGAUGUCUAUGCAUGGUCCUGGGCAAGAAGGCCAGUUUGCCCUGGUCCCCUCAACAGUAGGAGAUUUUCCCACUGCCCUUCGCUGCCAAGGAGUCGAUAGCACCUGUGUUCUAAGACGUGCAAGCUGGAGGCUUGCAGGGGACGCCAGCUGGUUAUUAGGGGGUGCUGGCCACACAGGGAAGUGGACAUUCUGCUGGAAGCGUUUGACAAAGCGCACACUUUGUGGAACCCCUGACAAGAAACCGAGCAGGACCAGCACCCAGGGGCCCCUGGGACCCCAUGGUGGCUCCAUUGCCCUGGGGUUUGCCUCCUUGGAACCCCUGUGCGGCUGGAGUCAGGCGACGUGUGCCCUUCUGCAUCUGGCUGUGCCACUCACGCUGUCUCUGUCAUCAUGCAGGCCACUGUCCCGCACUUGAGUCUGUGUUCAUGGAAACCCCAGGGAGUCCAGGGAGGGGGUGUUUCCUGGGGUACACAGAGCAGGAAGCCCAGACUUGGGGCACCCCCGAGGUGGCCCCGUGUCGGUGGUGAAGGGAUGCCAGGCUCUCCAAGUGCACCUGCUUCCUAGGCUCCCUGCCUCCCUGCUGUGCUGUGGCUUUCAAAUUGUGAACCCAGCCAGAAACCUCCAGCGGGCUUGCCUUUGUGGGGCACGUGGUCUGAGGCUGGCAUGAGGGUGGCCUUUUCCUGGGGCCUCGUGUUGAGGUGACACCCUAAGGAGCACGGGGGCUGCUCUGUCCUCACAAAACGCUGUCAGGCCUCUGCAAGGCAGGCUGUUCUCCGGGGCUGUGAAGCCCACAUGCCUGACCAGUGGGAGCCAUGGAUUGUUCUAUGACUUGGCUACUCCAUUCUCUUUCUUUAUUUUUUUUUUUUUUAAAUUUUACAUAGGGGUUGGCACUGUGGUGUAGCAGGUAAAGUGGCCACCUGCAGUGCUGGCAACCCAUAUGGGCACUGGUUCAAGUCCCGGCUGCUCCACUUCCAAUCCAGCUCUCUGCUAUGGACUGGGAAAGCAGUAGAAGGUGGCUCAAGUCCUUGGGUCCCUGCACCUGCAUGGGAGACCUGGAAGAAGCUCCUGGCUCCUGGCUUUGGUUCAGCUCAGCUCCAGCUGUUGCAGCCAAUUGGGGAAUGAACCAGUGGAUGGAAGACCUCUCUCUCUCUGCCUCUCCUCCCUGUGUGUAAUUCUGAUUUUCAAAUAAAUAAAUAAAUCUUUUAAAAAAUUUUUGAGAGAGAGAGAGAGAGAGAAACAACCCCCCCCCCUUUUUGUUUGACAGGCAGAGUGGACAGUGAGAGAGAGAGACAGACAUUUUUUUUCUUUUCUUUUCUUUUCUUUUCUUUUCUUUUUUUUUUUUUUUUUUUUUGGACAGAGAAACACCCCUCUCAUCUGCUGGUUCAUUCCCCAAAUGCCUGGGAGCCAGGAACCCCAACCAGGUCACCCAUGUGGAUGGCAAGGACCCAAGUAUGUGGGCCAUCAUCUGCAGCUCCCAGGCGCACUAGUAGGAAGGUGGUUUGGAAAUGAGGUGGGGCUUGAUCCCGGCGUUCCAGUACUUGAUGGUGGGUGUUCCCAGCAGUGGUUUAGCCCACUGCACCACUGUAAAUGGGACCGACUGCACCAGCAAACUGUUCAUAACUCCGGUUUUUAUUUGGGGGGAGGGAGGGCGGGACACUAAAGGUCCAGCACCCUCUUGCUCCUGGCAUGGCCCUGUCUGCGAGUGGGUUGCAGCUGAAGGACAUGCUGGACGGGGUGACUGGAGUGCACCUGUGGAGGUGGCUCUGGGACACGUCCUGGCUGGCAGCUGCUGGGGAAGUGACUUGAUCCGCUGGGAGGGAUGUCUCCCUGCCCCAGAAACUGUCCAUGGCUCUGCUUGGAACUUGUUGGCUUACUGGCCCGCUCCUGGGCUUUCUAAAUCCCACUGCAGUGUUUUCUUGUUUCCUUACAGCACUUCCCCACUGCCUGUUUCUGUGCCAGACAUUACUAAUCCAUUGUGAGACUCCUACCCAUUGAUCCCGCACCCUGCUUUGAGUUCCAGAACUCUAGGAGCCACUCCGUCUGGUUGGAGCUCAUUUACUUCAUUCAUGUGUUUUGACAUUGCAGCCCUGAGAGUAAAGUGAGUAGAGUGGAACCCCACUUUCUCCUGAGAUUUGAUUUCUUGUGGAAGGGCUGGACGUGAAGGAAAGAUGUGUCCCCCCAUUGUUAUCUAGCUGGGUGAUUUUGUAUUUUUCCUUUUAGUUUCUAUUUUUCUUUUAAAGAUUUUAUUUUAUUUGAAAGGCACAAUUGCAGAGAUAGGGUUGGUUCACUCCCCAGUUGGCCGCAACAGCCGGAGCUGCGCCAAUCCGGAGCCAGGAGCCAGGAGCCAGGGACCAGGAGCUUUUUCUGGGUCUCUCAUGUGGGUGCAGGGGCCCAAGGACUUGAGCCAUUUUCUGCUGCUUUCCCAGGCAUAGCAAAGAGCUGGAUCAGAAGUGGAGCAGCCGGGACUCAAACUGGUGCAUAUGUGGGAUGCCAGCAUUGCAGGCAAUGGCUGAAUCUGCUAUGCCACAGUGCUGGCCCCUUAAAACUGUUUUGAUUAACAUCUAAUACUUGUCCAUUUUUUGUGAGGUACUGUGCGGUAUUUCAACACAUGUAUACAGCAUGAACCGGUCCCGUCAGGCACCUGGCAUUUCCUUUUCCAUAUCUCUUUUCUUUGUGUUUGGAGCCUACCAGCUGCUGCCCUCUGGUUCUGUGACAGUUUUGGAGCAGUCACUGUGUCCUGGUCCCUUUGCCUCUGCAGAGGGGUGACUGGGGGCUGGCGGGGGCUGUCCUGUCCAGGAGGAGGUGUGUACACAGGAGCCGGCCGUCUUCAGGUGUCAUUUGCUGCUUUCAGAGCAAUAUUUUCCAGGAGACUUGAAGUUUGUCAAGCAAAUACCUGGGCUCCCAGCCUGUGGGGGUCUCACACUCACAGGUUGCUAGGGGAGUCCCCAGAAUAUAUGCAAGAGGUAGGGCAUGACUUUGUGCGCAUCCCACUUGUGUCUCCUUGGGUGACACCCCUUUUCAGGAGGGUUCCCAGCGGCAGGGGCACUCUCCUUGCACCGGGUUUGGGGGUGGUGGUGCUCUGUGCUCUGCACGUUUCUUCCCUACACCAUUCCUGCCUCUGCUCGCCGGAACUGCCUGCUCCUUUUACCACGGCGGUGCUGGGCAGAGAGUGGGCUUGGAGGUGUCUGGGAGGUGGCAGCUCAGCUCUCACUUCCACGUUUGGUACCUGUCACCCAGUGCACCUUCCAAGUGCAGCUUGACUGGCCGGCCAGGUGCACCAGGCCUCAACCCAGCCUUGCUGGGCGUUUGCACCUACGCAUAAUCUGAACGUGACUACUCCGCGGGACCAGAAGGCAGCCAGGCGCUCAGGAGUGGGCGGCCUCUCGGGAUCCUUCCACACAGGGAUCCUGGGGGCCCCAGGGUGCCUGGCAGCCCCACCUGCCCCGCUGCUGUGUGUGGGUGCCGCCACUCGGGCAAAGGUUGUUCUGUUGAGAGCAUCUGCCCCCUUUCUCCUUCUCCGGUCGCCCCAGCAACCGUCGCCCGAGGCAGUGAAGAAAGGGGAUUUAGAGAUCCCUGGAUCCAGCCCUGGGCAUUUUACAACAGGGGUGGGGGCACCCGGAGGAUCUGUGACCUUCCUGAGUGCACAGGGCGUAGGAGGUGAACACGUGUGCGUAUGGAGGGCUCCCUAUGCACUGAGUGACCAGGGCAGGUGCAGUUGGCAGGGUUGGUGGCCUGAGAGUAGACCAGUAAGCAAGCAAGAUCAUGUUCUGUGAGUAAGUAAACACCUGAGAAACAGGUGAGGGCCUGGUGCUGUGGCACAGUUGGAUAAAAGCCAGCGCCUGCAAUGCCGGCAUCCCAUAUGGGUGCUGGUUUGAGUCCCAGAUGUUCUGCUUCCAAUCCAGCUCCAUGCUAAUGGCCUGGGAAGGGCAGCAGAGGAUGGCCCAAGUGCUUGGGCCCCUGUACCACAUGGGAGACCCGGAUAAAGCUCCUGGCUCCUGGCUUUGGUGUGACCCAGCCCCGGCCAUUGCGACCAUGUGGGGAAUGAGCCAGUGUAUGGAGGAUCUCUCUCUCUCUCCCUCUCUCUUUCUCUCUCUGACUUUCAAAUAAAUAAUAAAUAAAUCUCAAAAAAAAAAGAAGUAAAGAAAUGGAUGAGCUCCUUUCUAUUGGUGUGACUUCUGUGAAGGCUAUGGAGGCCGCAGGCUGGGAGAGGGUGGGACGCGCUGUGUGGGUGCAGGGGCCCUGGGAGCCGUGUGUGGGCAGGGGUGAGAGUCUGCAGGCCCUGCUGAGCAAAGGCUGGGAGGUGACGCAAGCUACUGGGCUGGAGGCAGCUGGUACAGGCCUGGUGUGCGUGUGUGUACACGUGUACAUGUGUGUACAUGUGUGUGUACAUGUGUGUGUACAUGUGGGGGGCAUGAGAGGCAGAUGCGGCCCAUUGUGUGAGGUGUUUGGAUCUCACUCUAAGCUUUCUGGGAAGUCACUGGAGGAUUUUAAGUGAGAGAUUUCCCUGGUUUGAUUUGGGUGUGAGUGACCCCGCUUUGAAGGGUGCAAGAGUGGAGGUGGGAGAGUGACGAGGCUGGCCUGGUCCAGGGAGACAGGAGGGCACAGAAGCGUGUCUCUCCGCGGAGCCCACAGAUGUGGGGUAGACCCAGUGUGGAAUGGGAGGGCAGGCAAAGAGGAGGAUUGCAGUGUCUCCAGCGUUGGGUGGCAAGGCUCCUGUGCUGGACCCUCUCACAGCUUGGUGUCCCCACCCCGCCAAGCACCGGGCCUGCUGGCCCCGUGGUCACCCAGGAGGGCUGACUCCCUGGCCUUUUUAGAUCCAGAAGGCAGAGGGACGUGGUGUUACCUGGAACUGGGGAUGUCGGAGCGCUCAGAGCUUGGCCUUCAUCCUGACUGCUUCUAGUGUCCUGGCGACAGCACAGAUGUGAGCCAGAGCCCACAGUGGGCAGGGCUGAUGGACGCGCAGGGCAUCAGGGUGCUGGGGAAGGUGUGGGGCUGACGUGAUGGAGGUGCACACUGCCAGGGGUUGUACGUUCCUGGGCCACGAGUCGGUGCGCUUCUGCUGUUACCUCGGGCAACCCUGGGCCGCAGAGUGGAUGUUCCUGUCCCCACUUCCUACAUGCGGAAACGGGGGCUUGAAGAGUGUUUGGCCUAAGGUUUCCCAGCUAGGGAGUGGCUGAGCUCAGCAUAGGGCUCUGACUCCAGACUCACUAAGUCCUAAGGGGCACUCAGCAUUGUUGCCGGUGUACCACGCUGUCCUCCAAAUCUAGGGGUGGGGACGUUAGCCCCAGAGGUGCCCAUCCAGAUCUAGGGGUGGGGGCGUUAGCACCAGAGGUGCUCCGCGUGGUAGGCCAGGACCCCGGGCAGUUUGCAGAAAAAGCAGCUGCUCUCCUGGUGGGCGGUGCUGGGGCCACUCCCCCCCUUUUCUUUCAUCCUGCUCUCCCCCUGCCCUUUCUUUCCAUCUUGCCCCCCAAGUUUUCCUUUUGCCCACACCCCUUUCCAGAAAAAUCACCAAAAAGGCUGGCUGCCGGGGCUCGGGCCCUGUGAGAGCUGCAAGGGUGGAGCCUUCUCUGGCAGGUGCAGGGCCCCACCUGACCCAGCUCUACCGGACUUCCUGCCAGUGACUGGGGAGCAUGGCGCCUUCGUAGGGUUUGGGCACACUGGAAGGACGCGCCUGGGGGUGAGGAUGAAGGUCACACCAGGAGGGGUUGUGCAGCUUCCUCUUAGCAGGCGGGGCAGUGACAGGAAAGGAUAGAAAGUGCCCACUUUUUCCAUUUCUCGCGUCUUGUGCCCUGGACUGACAGGACGCUGGACCCUGGGACUGAGCCAGUGGGCUGUGGUCGCCCCCACCACUGCCCCUGCCAAAUGUAAACGUGUGGGGUGGGGAUCCCUCCUGCUCUAUUCCGUGUUUCCCAGCCUUCGCGCCCGCGUGGCCCCAUCAGUAUCGUGAGUGAGUGAAUGAGUGAAAUGAAUGAGUAAAAUGAAUGAGUGAAUGAGCUGCGCUGGUCUCCCUCGGCCUGUGCCGUGCAUUGCAGUGGCCGUGAGCCAUGUGUGGCCGUGGAGACGUGAGAUGUGGAAGUUCUUAACGGAGCUGUGCUGGGCGGUACAAUAUACGUGGGACUUCAACGACCCUGUGAAAAACGGUGCACUGUCCCUUUAGUAGUUUUUCCUACUGACCACGUGUUGAAAUGAUACUAUUUUGGAUAUAUUGAGUGACAUAAAGUGCGCUGUCAAACUGGUGGCUUCCUCCCCUCCCCCUUGCUGUUGUGUGGUAAUGGGCACAUGAUGUCGGGUUUCCCAGAAGGCUGCAUUGUUUCCGUCGGGUGGCGCUGCCCCGCUCUGAGGGCGGUCUUUCUAGGGUUAGAAUCCUUUCUCUGCUGUGGCCAGGGAGUGCAGUGGAGGAUGGCCCAAGUACUUGGGCCCUGCACCCCAUGGGAGACCAGGAUAAGUACCUGGCUCCUGCCUUCAGAUCAGUGCGGUGGCCGCAGUGGCCAUUGGAGGGUGAACCAACAGCAAAAGGAAGACCUUUCUCUCUGUCUCUCUCUCACUGUCCACUCUGCCUGUCAAAAAAAAAAAAAAAAAAAAGAAUCCCAGCUGGCCCAUUCCCAGCUGUGCUACCCAAAGCAGGACUCUGGGUCUCAGUUUCCUCGUCUCUGAAACAGGGCUAAGGAGGUAGACCUCACAGAGCUGGGCCCACAGAUGGGAGCAGACAGAGGAGCCCUGUGUGCAUCAGCCCCUCUGUCUCUCAAGGGGAAGGCUGUGACCUCGGGGGUCCGGGGUCAGACCCACGUGGGAGCCAUGCUCUGGGGACUCAGCAGACAGCAGCAGUGAGCUGCUGCAGGACCGCGGGACUCAAGAGUGAUAAGGUGACCCUGCCGCGAGGAGUUGUGUGAUCCGAAGGCCAGGCUGCGUGGAGGGGCUUCCUCUCGGAGCCACCAGCCUGGGUGGGGCACAGGCAGCAGGGACGGGGGUGGGGGGAGGGAUGGCUGCAACUGGCGCUGCUCCCAUGCCUGCAGCCCCCGGCGCUCCAGGCUCUCACAACCCGGGCAGCCUCUGUGUCAGGGGCAGGCUGUGAGUGCGAGGGUGAGAGAGAGGGUGUGAAUGCCAGUGUGAGAGAGCACGUAGUGUGUGUUUGAGUAUAUAUGUGAGUGCAUGCAGGUGUGCGUGUGAGUGUGUGUGAGUGGGGGGGGGGGCAGGACUUGACCCCAGCUGCAUGCUGGGUGCCCACAUCUCCCUCUGCCAUGGAGCCCAGUAGCAUCAUGGCAGGUAGGGCCAGGACACGUGGCAGGCUGGUAGCCUCCCGUCUUUCUGGAGCACAUUCUCCCAGUGUCCUGGCCCCAGUGUGCAGCUGUCUGCCCUCCGCCUCCUGGUUAGCUGCUCCCUGAGCCUGCUGGGUUCAGGUGCCAAGCACCUCUCAGGGCAGGAGGAAAUGGCUCCUUGCAGCCCACAGGGAGCUGCGCUGAGUACCUUCCCCCUUGCCCAGCUCUGUGGCAGUGGAGGUUCAGAGCGGGGCUCUGCAGCCAGAUGGGCUGGCCUUGUCCAGGGCCCCUGUGUGGCCUGGGUUCCUCUGGUCUUCACAUUCAGGUUGGGGAGGCCUAAGUGGGGCUGGCCUGCGAGAGGCAUUACUGAAUCCCAACACUACUAGGUAGCAUCGUCUCCUUGGCCCCCCUGUCCUGCCCCCCCCCCCCCAACCUGUGUUUUCCAUCUUCAGUGCAUUGCCUGGAAGUUGCAGGAGCCAAGGCACCCAGGGGCUGGGGGCAAGUGCAGUCUGGGGAGGGGGGCGGUGGGCCGGCAGCCCCCAGCCCAGCCCUUGCAGGUCCUGGAGCAGCUGCUACUCGUGGUGGGGGGCGUGGCUGUGGGAAAUGCCCCCAGCCUGCCUGGUGAGCCGGCCCAGGUGUCAGGUGGUGGCAGCACCAGGAGGGCCCGGAUGAAGCUCUCCUGAGCCUUACCUUGCGUUGGGAGGUGAGGGCCUGACUCAGGCCCCCAACAGUCAGCUCCCUGUGCCCUGUGCUCAGGGUCUCCUUGCUUGCAGAAGCUUUGGGAAUGCAUGGCCCCUCCCCUGCCUCCUCCUUUGUCUUCAGGGCAGGGCAGAGGGCACAGAGGAGGUCAGGUUCAUCUCUUGGACACCUGUAUGGAAUGAGCUCCGCAUGGCAGCUUUAGGACAAUGCCUAGGACAGAUGUGAGAGAUGCACCCGGGGCUGCUGGUGCCAGCCCCUGUCCCAGGCACUGAAAGGACAUAAAUCAAGAGGGUGGGGAGGGCAACAUGGAGCCCAAACUCCCGGGCUGCUGGGAGGGAGCCUGGGAAUGAGACACUGAGGCCUGGGGAUGUGUCCAGGUGGGGUGGUGCCUAGGAGGGUGUGUGUGUCAGAGUGCUCUGAGCACCACUGUCAUUUUUGUUCUUUGUAAGCCUUAGGUGUUUCUGAGAGAGAGAGAGAGAGAUUUUACAGGACGCUAUCUGGCAGUGGGAAUGGUACGUGCAAAGGCCCUGAGACAGAAAACGACUUUUCCUAGUGAGGAAGCAGGUGAAGGCUGCACCUUUGCCCUGGAGGCCUCCCUACUUUGGUAUCUUCUCUUUGAAAGGUCUGCUCCAGCUACUUCUGAGCCCACAGAAAAGGCCCGUUCUUGAGCCUCGGGAAGGCCUUUCCAGGCGUGCUAGGUGUCAGCGAGAGUUCUGGUGGGAAGCCUUCUGGGUGUGUCGGCCUCUUUGAUUGGAAGCAGCGGACUCUAGAUGGGUUCUGCCAAGGAUCCGUGGUGACCCUUCUCUUCUUUUGUGGAAGAAUUUGCCUGCUAAACUGGCAACCGGGGGAGCUGAGUCACUGUUGCCCCACUUUCUUACGUCACAGACACCCUGGAACAGGUCCUGGCCUGCAGCACACACACUGCUGUCCGUGAUGGUGACGCCCGUGAGCAGGUUGAGCAUUUACUUCAGCUCUGUGUCCGUGCGUGGCUCUGCUGGCAGUCGCUGAAGCUUGGGCAGGGGUCCGGGCCCCCUGGGAACCUGGGAUGCAGGGUGCGAGCCUCUGAGCUGGUUCAGGUCUUGCUUUCCUGAUGAGGGAGGGGUAGGGCCUCUCCAGACCCAGGUCAUGCAGUGGGGGAGGAGAGCCCCGUCUGCAGCACAGGGCACCCUCUGUUGGCUGUGAACAUGAGGCUCCGCAUCCCUAGCCAAGAGGAGUCCCACUGACUUCUCGUGGGGAAAGAUUGCAUCGUGUCUGCUGCAGGCCUCCGAGCCCGGCGGGCUGGGUGGGAGCUGUGGCUGUGCAGUUCUGGCUGUGGCCGCUGCACCUGCAGGUGCUUCCUGCUGAGUGUUUUGCUGGCGAGUACUUCCCUCUCCCUCCCCGCCCCUGCAGCUUGCUGGCUGCAGCCUCCUCCAACAUCUACUGGGCGCAGGGCUCUGAGAGGUCAGGCUCUGCUAGGAGGUGGUACAAGGGUGCUGGGGGUGAUCUGAUAACAUGCCAUGGGCCUACACCGCUCACCAUGCUAGAUGCUCAACGGGCUUCCGCUCAUCUACUCCUGUUCCGCAACCUUCCAAAGGAGACAAUUGAAGCACAGAGAGAUUGAGUGACUUGAUCACAGUCACACAGCUAGUUAGUGACAUGGCUGGGAUUUGAACCCAGGCCAUCUGGCUAUGGGGUGCACAGUCUUGGGUCGCCCCUGUGGUAGGCUGAAUCAUGGCCUCUCCAGAGAUUCUGAUCUCUGGUGGAAGGGAUUUUUCAGACAUGAUCAAGUUAAGGAUGUGGAGACAGAGUGGCCAUCUUGGAUUGUCUAGGUGGGCCCAGGGUCUUCACAAGCAGGACAGGGGAGCUGGCUGAGGAAUGGAGGUCAGCGGUGCCUCUUGAGAAAGAUGUGACCAGCAACUGCUGAUCACAAAGGUGGAGGAAAGGCCUGGAGCGGGGGAAUGCAGGGGCCGCCAGAGGCUGGAGGGGGUGAGCGUGGAUUCCCCUCUGGAGCCUCCAGAAGCGACCAGCUCUGCCAACACUUUGAUCCCAGCCUGGCGAAUGUGGGUGUAGACCCCAACUUCCAGAGCCAUAGAGCACGCACUUGCAUGGUUCUAAACGACUCGAUGGGUGGCCACUUGCACUGCAGCCGUAGGACAGGAUACAACCAUUCUUGUUCUCCUGGCCACUUCAUUUUGAAUUUCUAGUGGUGGAAACCCAACUGUACAAAUGGAGGCCUUCCUGGCCAUGCCACAGCUUACGAAGCAUUUGGGAGCCCAAACAAGCCCAACUGCCUUACCCGUGCCUACUCAGUGGUGGGCAUCACGCAGGCAAGAUGCAGAGGAAGGGGGGGCAUGAGGGAGCGCGGGGUCCCUGCUAGGCCCUGCCUCUGGAAGUGUCUCUGGGCAUUGCUUUGGUCCCUGGGAGUGGUCACCACCUGCCCGACACAUCUUCGUAUGCUGGCCUGGCACCAUUAGGGGCAGGGCCUUAGAUCCUUGCAAGGAACAUGAUUUCCCUGAGACGUGUUUGGCUACCCAACAUGAGCUGUGCCCACAGCAGCUGCUAUUUGGUGGUAGAAGGAGCCAUCCCUGAUCACGUGCCUCACACACACACCCUUCUGCCCCAGCCUCAGCUGCCUCACCUGUAGAAUGGGCACCAGGCUGCAGGCCUGUUGAAGUCCUGCACUGGUGCCAAGGUAACCUUGGCUGGGCGAGCUCUGUGCGGGUGGGGCUCCCUCUGCUUCUUCCAAAAGUCACCUUCUGGCAUGAGUGGGCCAGCCUCGGGCCCCCCGGCUCUAGGAGUGGCCACUCUGUGGAGCUCGCCUUGGCCCCAGGCAGGUGUGGGGGGAGGUCUUGAGGCAUGUGAGUGCCCCUGAGUGACCUUGGGCUGGACCACAUCGGUGUCUUCCCCUGACCACCGAGUCAGGUCAAGGGUUAGGGCAGAGAGUCGCAGUGACAGCUCCCAUUUGCUGAGGGCUAACUAGUGUCCACUGCUAACCACUCACUGUCCCAUGGAGUCCCUCCAGCAACCUUCAGAGAGAGGGGGACAUCCCCAUUUUGCACUGCAGGAAUCUGAUGCCCAGAGAGGUUAAGUGGCUUGCCUGGGUUCACACAGCUGUGAGCACGGAACUAGACGUGAACUUGGCCUUCCUCACUGCGCGGCAGUAGGUUUUGAAGGAGCCCUGGAAAAGAAAGCUCUGGCCUCAGCCUGCCACUGAGUAGGGCCCAAGAAAGGGCUCUGUGGGUCAGGAGCUUGAAUGGUGCUCGGAGAGCAGAGACGCUGCCUGGAGCGGAUCCUUAGGGACCAAGUGCUCACUGUGGAGCUGAAGGGAGCAGACACCGGGGCUCCUUGGCCUUCCCCAGGAUGGGGCUUGGCUGCUCGGGGUCCCUCCCAGGACCCUCAGUGCCGAGCUCACGUGAACUUAGCUUCAUCACCAUGGGAGGAGACACAGAGAGAACAAACCUGGAGGCACAGGCGGAGGGAAUGUGGGGCGAGCCCCGGUGCAUGGC